This is a non-coding RNA of Peromyscus maniculatus bairdii (prairie deer mouse), 438 nucleotides long. The record is from RefSeq and is a predicted model, not a curated record. NCBI's taxonomy places the organism in Eukaryota, Metazoa, Chordata, Mammalia, Rodentia, Cricetidae.
UCUCAGCAUGGGAGCACGGAACAGAGUUGAGCCUGUCCUCAAUCCUGACAGGAGGGUGAGGAAACAAACAGAAGAGGUGAUAAGCAUCAUCCUCCAGGAAUAACCAGAGAGAUGGUAGGACACUGGAAACUUAAUUUCUUCAGGAUGCUUAUGACAAUGCCCACGUUCUUCCAGAUGUCGUUGUUUCCAGGGGUGGAGAACUGAUACCAUGUUAAAUAGCACACAUGCUCAGCUGUGGUGACUGGAGAGAAAAGUCUUAAUGAUUAUGAUCACUUGCUGCUCUUCCAGAGGACCCGGGUUUGGUUUCCAGCAUUCCCAUGGCAGCUCACAAGUGUAACUCCAGUUCCAGAGGACCAAACAUCUUCUUUUGGUCUCCUCAGGUACUACAUGAAUGUCAGGCACUUACAUAUGUGUAGGCAAAAUACUAACACACGUGAA